ACACUGGACUUUGGUCAAGUACUAGCCUCC
Molecule: non-coding RNA, 30 nt
Filed under: Homo sapiens (human)
Lineage: Eukaryota; Metazoa; Chordata; Mammalia; Primates; Hominidae
Source: RNAcentral